AGUGAACGCUGGCGGUAGGCCUAACACAUGCAAGUCGAACGGCAGCACAGUAAGAGCUUGCUCUUACGGGUGGCGAGUGGCGGACGGGUGAGGAAUACAUCGGAAUCUACUUUUUCGUGGGGGAUAACGUAGGGAUACUUACGCUAAUACCGCAUACGACCUACGGGUGAAAGCAGGGGAUCUUCGGACCUUGCGCGAUUGAAUGAGCCGAUGUCGGAUUAGCUAGUUGGCGGGGUAAAGGCCCACCAAGGCGACGAUCCGUAGCUGGUCUGAGAGGAUGAUCAGCCACACUGGAACUGAGACACGGUCCAGACUCCUACGGGAGGCAGCAGUGGGGAAUAUUGGACAAUGGGCGCAAGCCUGAUCCAGCCAUACCGCGUGGGUGAAGAAGGCCUUCGGGUUGUAAAGCCCUUUUGUUGGGAAAGAAAAGCAGCAGGUUAAUACCCCGCUGUUCUGACGGUACCCAAAGAAUAAGCACCGGCUAACUUCGUG
RNAcentral lists this ribosomal RNA (492 nucleotides) under uncultured bacterium. RNAcentral describes it as "partial 16S ribosomal RNA". It matches the Rfam family "Bacterial small subunit ribosomal RNA", at positions 29 to 507 of the family's 1533-position model. The record is from RNAcentral.